Molecule: ribosomal RNA, 528 nt
Filed under: Acanthobrama lissneri
Lineage: Eukaryota; Metazoa; Chordata; Actinopteri; Cypriniformes; Leuciscidae
Also listed under: 1 other name
Description: partial small subunit ribosomal RNA
Rfam family: Bacterial small subunit ribosomal RNA
Source: RNAcentral
AUUAUUAGCUUUAACCCAACUUACACAUGCAAGUCUCCGCAACCCCGUGAGUAUGCCCUUAAUCCCCGACCCCGGGGACGAGGAGCGGGCAUCAGGCACAAGUUUUUAGCCCAAGACGCCUGGCCGAGCCACACCCCCAAGGGAAUUCAGCAGUGAUAAAUAUUAAGCCAUAAGUGAAAGCUUGACUCAGUUAGGGUUAAGAGGGCCGGUAAAACUCGUGCCAGCCACCGCGGUUAGACGAGAGGCCCCAGUUAAUAAUACACGGCGUAAAGGGUGGUUAAGGGAAGUAUAGUAAUAAAGCCGAAUGGCCCUUUGGCUGUCAUACGCUUCUAGGUGUCCGAAGUCCAGUAUACGAAAGUAGCUUUAAUAAAGCCCACCUGACCCCACGAAAGCUGAGAAACAAACUGGGAUUAGAUACCCCACUAUGCUCAGCCGUAAACCCAGACGUCCAGCUACAAUUAGACGUCCGCCAGGGCACUACGAGCAUUAGCUUGAAACCCAAAGGACCUGACGGUGCCUUAGACCCCU